UGGGGCAUAGCCAAGUGGUAAGGCGACGGUUUUUGGCUCCGUUAUUCGGAGGUUCGAGUCCUUCUGCCCCAG
Micromonas sp. is the source of this 72-nucleotide transfer RNA. It matches the Rfam family "tRNA". Rfam says of the family: Transfer RNA (tRNA) molecules are approximately 80 nucleotides in length. The record is from Rfam. NCBI's taxonomy places the organism in Eukaryota, Viridiplantae, Chlorophyta, Mamiellophyceae, Mamiellales, Mamiellaceae.